This is a regulatory RNA element of 124 nucleotides. It matches the Rfam family "ylbH leader". From Rfam's summary of the family: This family is a putative regulatory RNA structure that is found upstream of the ylbH gene in B. subtilis and related low GC Gram-positive bacteria. The record is from Rfam.
AAAAACAAAACCUUGAGCCACUUAGGCUCAAGGCUUCCUUCCAUGCACCGCAAUGGCGCUGAAGGCAAAGGGAGAGGAGAAACCGGAGGAAGAACUUAUGGGGAAACGUAAGUCUUCUCCGCGG